RNAcentral lists this ribosomal RNA (393 nucleotides) under uncultured bacterium. RNAcentral describes it as "bacterial SSU rRNA". It matches the Rfam family "Bacterial small subunit ribosomal RNA", at positions 30 to 426 of the family's 1533-position model. The record is from RNAcentral.
AUUGAACGCUGGCGGCAUGCCUUACACAUGCAAGUCGAACGGCAGCGGGCCUUCGGGUGCCGGCGAGUGGCGAACGGGUGAGUAAUGCAUCGGAACGUGCCAUUGAGUGGGGGGAUAACGUAGCGAAAGUUGCGCUAAUACCGCAUAUUCUGUGAGCAGGAAAGCAGGGGACCGCAAGGCCUUGCGCUCUUUGAGCGGCCGAUGUCAGAUUAGCUAGUUGGUGAGGUAAAGGCUUACCAAGGCGACGAUCUGUAGCGGGUCUGAGAGGAUGAUCCGCCACACUGGAACUGAGACACGGUCCAGACUCCUACGGGAGGCAGCAGUGGGGAAUUUUGGACAAAUGGGGGCAACCCUGAUCCAGCCAUGCCGCGUGAGUGAAGAAGGCCUGGUUGU